This 497-nucleotide ribosomal RNA is filed under the name uncultured bacterium. Its description in RNAcentral is "partial 16S ribosomal RNA". It matches the Rfam family "Bacterial small subunit ribosomal RNA", at positions 28 to 507 of the family's 1533-position model. The record is from RNAcentral.
GAUGAACGCUGGCGGCGUGCCUAAUACAUGCAAGUCGAGCGAACGGACGAGAAGCUUGCUUCUCUUAUGUUAGCGGCGGACGGGUGAGUAACACGUGGAUAACCUACCUAUAAGACUGGGAUAACUUCGGGAAACCGGAGCUAAUACCGGAUAAUAUUUUGAACCGCAUGGUUCAAAAGUGAAAGACGGUCUUGCUGUCACUUAUAGAUGGAUCCGCGCUGCAUUAGCUAGUUGGUAAGGUAACGGCUUACCAAGGCAACGAUGCAUAGCCGACCUGAGAGGGUGAUCGGCCACACUGGAACUGAGACACGGUCCAGACUCCUACGGGAGGCAGAAGUAGGGAAUCUUCCGCAAUGGGCGGAAGCCUGACGGAGAAACGCCGCGUGAGUGAUGAAGGUCCUCGGAUCGUAAAACUCUGUUAUUAGGGAAGAACAUAUGUGUAAGUAACUGUGCAAAUAUUGACGGUACCUAAUCAGAAAGCCACGGCUAACUACGUG